GCUCUCGCCGCGGCGCGGGGCCUGCCGGGACUUGUAGUCCGAGAGCCCAGGAUCCAGUGUGGACGGCUGGGUGAACUUUAGAGGGGCUGGCGCGUGCUCCCGAACCUGGAAGACGCCUUUCCCCUCCUCCUACGAGCGAGCGACAUGCAUAUUCAGGGAGCCUCCUGACAGCUGUUUCCCCGCUGGGUGCCUCCCUGCCUGAUGCUGACGACCUCUCCUCAGCACCACCUACUUGACUUCUUUACGUGUGCACUGCGUGGCUUGACUUCCCAGCUUGAGAAGGUCCUCCCUGAAGGUGAGCUGGGCCCUAAAUCCCAUCACACAAGUGUCCUGAGGAGAUGGAGGCAAAGGGAGAUUUGGUAAACACAGAAGAGAAGGCCAUGUGGCUGUACGUCCAGGAGUUUCAAUACCCACCAGAAGCUGCCAGAGAAUGGACUACCUCAGAAUCCCGACUUCAAGCCUCUGUAAAGAGCAUCUCUUCUGCCUGAACUGUCUUUGCCCCUAAGCCUCUUCUGUGCUUGUGUGAAGCCCACACAUCCUUGACCACCUUCAGGUAGCAUGUCUCUGGAAAGCCUUCCAGGCCACUCCCUGGUGAAGUGCUAAAUGUCUGCCUUUCCCCAAAGGACAAGGGAAUGAGAAGAGACCCCUUUCCUGGUACUGGCACAGAGCCCAGCUCAUACCAGCCUUGGUUAACACUUGGCAAAUGAUACUCAAGCUGCUUCUUCCAGCUUCAGCCUACUCUGAGAUGAGCACCAUUUGACCGGAAAGUGUAUUCCCUGAGCCACUUUAUGUAGUGAAUUGUAGAGCACCCCGUGCAGGAAUAAAGUCUUGUAUACAAGCCUCGGGAUUCCUGAAGACUAAUGGAUUGGAUGCCCUGGUCACCAACUAGAAGUCCAUGAGAGUCCAGAGCUCUCUCCUGAGAUCAAGUGUUGAUCCAAGGCCUCCUUCCCCCAUAUCACCCCUCAGCUACAGAGGUCCUCUAAACUUCCUGACCUUGAGCUUAUCAUUUCUGCCUAACAAGCAGUGUCUAGCACAGGAGCCAGAUCACCAAGCUUUUUAAAUUUUGAGAAUACGUUUAUUAAAGCUAGAGACAGUGAAAUGAGGAAGAGCUUAGGUUAUAAGAAGCAACAGGAAAGCCUGGGCAGGGCUACAUUGGCUCUCAAAAAUGUUACAGGAAAGAAGUGAGCCAUGCGGGGGUGCUCUGGUUCAUGGAAAAUCAGAGAAAAGGGCCUUGGAAACAGGUUCAGGAGAUACACGAGAGGGAAGAAAGGCAUGGGCAUGCUCUCAAGCCUUUCUUAAACACCCUCCCCAAACCUACCAAGCUGGAUAUAAUUUUUUUUUUUAACCCUCACCCAAGGAUAUGUUUUUA
Myotis lucifugus (little brown bat) is the source of this 1369-nucleotide long non-coding RNA. RefSeq lists it as uncharacterized. The transcript is spliced from 4 exons. Lineage: Eukaryota; Metazoa; Chordata; Mammalia; Chiroptera; Vespertilionidae. The record is from RefSeq and is a predicted model, not a curated record.